UUCGGAUUGUAGUCUGCAACCCGACUACAUGAAGCUGGAAUCGCUAGUAAUCGCGGAUCAGAAUGCCGCGGUGAAUACGUUCCCGGGUCUUGUACACACCGCCCGUCACACCAUGGGAGUCGGAUAUGCCCGAAGUCAGUGACCCAACCAUAUGGAGGGAGCUGCCGAAGGUGGAGCCGAUAACUGGGGUGAAGUCGUAACAAGGUAUC
Molecule: ribosomal RNA, 209 nt
Filed under: uncultured bacterium
Lineage: Bacteria
Description: partial 16S ribosomal RNA
Rfam family: Bacterial small subunit ribosomal RNA
Source: RNAcentral